GCUGAAAGUCCGUAUUGCCCAGCGACAGCCCCGAAACCUGAAGGAUCUGGAGAAGGUCUGUAUGGAGGAGUGGGCCAAAAUCCCUGCUGCAGUGUGUGCAAACCUGGUCAAGAACUACAGGAAAUGUAUGAUCUCUGUAAUUGCAAACAAAGGUUUCUGUACCAAAUAUUAAGUUCUACUUUUCUGAUGUAUCAAAUACUUAUGUCAUGCAAUAAAAUUCUAGUGAAUUACUUAAAAAUCAUAAGAUGUGAUUUUCUGGAUUUUUGAUUCAGUAUCUCACAGUUGAAGUGUACCUAUGAUAAAAAUUACAGACCUCUACAUAAUUUGUAAGUAGGAAAACCUGCUAAAUCGGCAGUGUAUCAAAUACUUGUUCUCCCCACUGUAUAUAUAUAUGCACAUUUUGAAUAUUCCUUAUUUGUUAAGUAAAUAACGGAACCAAGAAAAGAUGGAACCAACAAAGGUGAUAUGAGAACACUCAGAGCAGGUGAGGGAACACUCAGAGCAGGUGAGGGUACACUCAGAGCAGGUGAGGGUACACUCAGAGAAGGUUAUAUGAGAACACUGAGAGCAGGUGAGGGAACAGUCGGAGCAGGUGAUAUGAGAACACUCAGAGCAGGUGAUAUGAGAACACUCAGAGCAGGUGAGGGAACACUCACAGCAGGUGAUAUGAGAACACUCAGAGAAGGUGAGGGAACACUCGGAGCAGGGGAUAUGAGAACACUCAGAGAAGGUGAUAUGAGGUCUCUCAGAGAAGGUGGGGGAACACUCCGAGAAGGUGAUAUGAGAACACUCAGAGAAGGUGACAUGAGCACACCCAGAGCAGGAGAUAUGAGAACACUCAGAGAAGGUGAUAUGAGAACACUCAGAGCAGGUGAGGGAACACUCAGAGCAGGUGAGGGAACACUCAGAGCAGGUGAGGGUACACUCAGAGCAGGUGAGGGUACACUCAGAGCAGGUGAUAUGAGAACACUGAGAGCAGGUGAGGAAACACUCAGAGCAGGUGAGGGAACAUUCGGAGCAGGUGAGGGUACACUCAUAGCAGGUGAUAUGAGAACACUCAUAGCAGGUGAUAUGAGAACACUGAGAGCAGGUGAUAUGAGAACAAUCAGAGAAGGUGAGGGAACACACAGAGCUGGUGAGGGAACACUCAGAGCAGGUGAGGGAACACUCAGAGCAGGUGAGGGUACACUCAUAGCAGGUGCUAUGAGAACACUCAGAGAAGGUGAGGGAACACUCGGAGCAGGGGAUAUGAGAACACUCAGAGAAGGUGAGGGAACACUCGGAGCAGGGGAUAUGAGAACACUCAGAGAAGGUGAUAUGAGGUCUCUCAGAGAAUGUGGGGGAACACUCAGAGAAGG
RNAcentral lists this long non-coding RNA (1358 nucleotides) under Salmo salar (Atlantic salmon). RNAcentral's name for it is "lncRNA (ENSSSAG00000116835.1)". Lineage: Eukaryota; Metazoa; Chordata; Actinopteri; Salmoniformes; Salmonidae. The record is from RNAcentral.